CCUACGGGAGGCAGCAGUAAGGAAUAUUGGUCAAUGGGCGCAAGCCUGAACCAGCCAUGCCGCGUGCAGGAUGACGGCCCUCUGGGUUGUAAACUGCUUUUAUACGGGAAGAACAGCAUCUACGUGUAGGUGUUUGACGGUACUGUAAGAAUAAGGACCGGCUAACUUCGUGCCAGCAGCCGCGGUAAUACGAAGGGUCCAAGCGUUAUCCGGAUUUAUUGGGUUUAAAGGGUGCGUAGGCGGCUUUUUAAGUCAGUGGUGAAAGCCUGAUGCUCAACAUCAGAACUGCCAUUGAUACUGAAGAGCUUGAGUACAGUUGAGGUUGGCGGAAUGUGUCAUGUAGCGGUGAAAUGCUUAGAUAUGACACAGAACACCGAUUGCGAAGGCAGCUAGCUAAGCUGUUACUGACGCUGAUGCACGAAAGCGUGGGGAGCAAACAGGAUUAGAUACCCUGGUAGUCCACGCCCUAAACGUUGAUAACUCGUUGUUAGCGAUAUACUGUUAGCGACCAAGCGAAAGCAUUAAAGUUAUCCAACCUGGGAAGUUACGGUUGCAAGAUUGAAACUUCAAANAGAUUAGAGNGNGAGAGNGCGACGGACGACACGAGGGAGGAGG
This 615-nucleotide ribosomal RNA is filed under the name uncultured bacterium. RNAcentral describes it as "bacterial SSU rRNA". It matches the Rfam family "Bacterial small subunit ribosomal RNA", at positions 338 to 953 of the family's 1533-position model. The record is from RNAcentral.